GCUGGUGUCCUAAAGAAGUAGAGAAGAAAGAAGAAUGUUGGGAACAAGUGGCCAAUAAUUUAGUUCCUCAAAUUCACAAUGACUCGAGGGCCAUAAUAGAAAAUAGUUAUAAGAUUUUACCCUAUCAUUUAAGGUCUUGCUUUCUUUAUUUUGGAGCAUUUUUAGAGGACAGCGUGAUUAAUGUUUCGAAGUUAACCUUUCUUUAUUUUGGAGCAUUUUUAGAGGACAACGUGAUUAAUGUUUCGAAGUUAAUACGGCUGUGGAUCUCAGAAGGAUUCAUAAAAAGUUGCGAAGGCAAGAACUUGGAAGAUAUAGCAGAAGGUUAUUUGGCAA
This 333-nucleotide long non-coding RNA is filed under the name Nicotiana benthamiana. RNAcentral describes it as "long non-coding RNA (NBEN_LNC030613)". Lineage: Eukaryota; Viridiplantae; Streptophyta; Magnoliopsida; Solanales; Solanaceae. The record is from RNAcentral.